AAAAAUAUUGACAUUUACUUGAACAUACAUUUGUUUUCUGACUGUGUUAUUAAAAAAAACGUCCAUAUGUCCUUAUCCAUUGCACAGUGGGAUGUACUGUAGUUGGGACGAUGUACUGUAGCUGGGACGAUGUACUGUAGGUGGGACGAUGUACUGUAGGUGGGACGAUGUACUGUAGCUGGGUCGAUGUACUGUAGCUGGGACGAUGUACUGUAGGUGGGACGAUGUACUGUAGGUGGGACGAUGUACUGUAGCUGGGACGAUGUACUGUAGCUGGGUCGAUGUACUGUAGCUGGGACGAUGUACUGUAGCUGGGACGAUGUACUGUAGCUGGGUCGAUGUACUGUAGCUGGGUCGAUGUACUGUAGCUGGGACGAUGUACUGUAGCUGGGACGAUGUACUGUAGCUGGGACGAUGUACUGUAGCUGGGUCGAUGUACUGUAGCUGGGACGAUGUACUGUAGCUGGGACGAUGUACUGUAGGCUGGGACGAUGUACUGUAGGUGGGACGAUGUACUGUAGCUGGGUCGAUGUACUGUAGCUGGGUCGAUGUACUGUAGCUGGGACGAUGUACUGUAGCUGGGUCGAUGUACUGUAGCUGGGACGAUGUACUGUAGCUGGGUCGAUGUACUGUAGCUGGGACGAUGUACUGUAGCUGGGUCGAUGUACUGUAGCUGGGACGAUGUACUGUAGCUGGGACGAUGUACUGUAGCUGGGACGAUGUACUGUAGUUGGGACGAUGUACUGUAGCUGGGACGAUGUACUGUAGCUGGGACGAUGUACUGUAGCUGGGUCGAUGUACUGUAGCUGGGACGAUGUACUGUAGCUGGGACGAUGUACUGU
Long non-coding RNA from Oncorhynchus keta (chum salmon), 842 nucleotides. RefSeq lists it as uncharacterized. The transcript has 5 exons. The record is from RefSeq and is a predicted model, not a curated record. NCBI's taxonomy places the organism in Eukaryota, Metazoa, Chordata, Actinopteri, Salmoniformes, Salmonidae.